UCCGUGUUAACCACGGCAGUCUCUCUAGAGUGCCCAACUUAAUGCUGGCAACUAAAGACAAGGGUUGCGCUCGUUGCGGGACUUAACCCAACAUGUCACCACACGAGCUGACGACAGCCAUGCAGCACCUGUCAUCCGGUAGUAUUGCUACUAAAAAUAGAUCUCUCUAUCGGUCCGGAGAUGUCAAACCCAGGUAAGGUUCUUCGCGUUGCUUCGAAUUAAACCACAUGAUCCACCGCUUGUGCGGGCCCCCGUCAAUUCCUUUGAGUUUUAGUCUUGCGACCGUACUUCCCAGGCGGGGUACUUAGUGCGUUAGCUCCGAUUCGGCGGGGGUCAAGACCCACCAAACCUAGUACCCAUCGUUUACGGCGUGGACUAC
RNAcentral lists this unclassified non-coding RNA (379 nucleotides) under uncultured Oligoflexales bacterium. RNAcentral describes it as "contains 16S-23S intergenic spacer region". The record is from RNAcentral. Lineage: Bacteria; Pseudomonadati; Bdellovibrionota; Oligoflexia; Oligoflexales.